This is a non-coding RNA of Solea solea (common sole), 390 nucleotides long. The record is from the annotation of a RefSeq genome assembly. Lineage: Eukaryota; Metazoa; Chordata; Actinopteri; Pleuronectiformes; Soleidae.
AUGUUUCCUGUAGCUCUGCUGCUGCUGCUGUUGGCAGCUGGAUCCUGUGUGAAGUGUCAAACAUUGACACAGCCAGCGUCUGUGACUGUGCAGCCAGGUCAACGUCUGACCAUCACCUGUCAGGUCUCUUAUUCUGUUAGUGGCUAUCACACAGCUUGGAUCAGGCAGCCUGCAGGGAAAGGACUGGAGUGGAUUGGAAUGGGACGACGUGGAUCCACCACAAACUACAAAGAUUCACUGAAGAACAAAUUCAGUAUUGACUUAGACACUUCCAGCAACACAGUGACUCUGAAUGGACAGAAUAUGCAGCCUGAAGACACUGCAGUGUAUUACUGUGCCAGAGACACAAUGAUACAAACCAUCAGAUCAAGCAAUAGCAUCAAUAGUUGA